RNAcentral lists this long non-coding RNA (384 nucleotides) under Sinocyclocheilus anshuiensis. Its description in RNAcentral is "lncRNA (ENSSANG00000015091.1)". Lineage: Eukaryota; Metazoa; Chordata; Actinopteri; Cypriniformes; Cyprinidae. The record is from RNAcentral.
GGUGACUGCAAUUUUAGCAGGUUUGUCGUCAGGGAGUAUGGGCCCAUGACCAAACCUCUAUGUGAUCUAUAAAGAACUGAAGUCCUAUCAAAGUGCACAACAGCAAAGACUCAUCACUGAACAUCUGGACACCAUUCCUCUUCAACGCCUGCAGAUGUUUUCAGUGGCAGGAGCGGCACGCGCCCGGCGUACGCAACACAAGCGCAUCUCAGGGGGCGUGGUCGGGGGGAACUCGCGGCGGGCCGCCGGCGUAUUGAAAAGGCCGCGCUGUUUCCAUCUCACAACUCAGAACAGGUCGAGAGUCCGGAGCACCUCUGCCCAUUGAAGCCACACGUGAACGCCACGAGCAAGACGCACGGCCAUUGGGCAUUCCAAAGAAAACUU